This 1030-nucleotide long non-coding RNA is filed under the name Homo sapiens (human). RNAcentral's name for it is "non-protein coding lnc-ADGRL1-1:2". The record is from RNAcentral. Lineage: Eukaryota; Metazoa; Chordata; Mammalia; Primates; Hominidae.
AGUUCCGCCUUGGGACGAGGCCCUGGCUGGGGGAACCGCAUCAGGCCUGACACCCAUCCCAUUCCCCCCUAAACCCAGAACGACAUCCAACCUCAUUCCGCAGCCCCUUCCCGACCUCGCCGCUCAGGCUAUGAUGGAAAGGUCCCUGGGAGUGGGGAGGAGGGCGAAUUUAAACCCAGAGAGAGAUCCUGUAGCCCAGUUCUCCUCGGUUCCCUAAACCUCCAGGAAAGCGGAGAAAGUCACAUUGUGGUGGCAGCUGCAGGUUUUUUUUUUUUAAUCUGUUAAUAAAACGCAAGUGAAUCAAAUCCGCCCUAAGGGAAGGGGGGGGGGCGCGGCGAGGCAGGGGCCAUGGUGUUUGCAGAAGUUGGAAAUUUAAUAAGAAGGAAAAAUAAAAAUAGCCACUGUGCUGGAGAGAGAGAGAGAGAAGGUUGGGAGAAGCAGCGCCCCUCACCUUCUGAGCUACUCAAGAGAUGGGGGACAGGAGCAGUACUGCCAAGAACAGUUGUGCAAGUUGCACACUGCACAAGCAUACCAGACAGAAGCUAGAGCAGAAGCUGACGUCGUCUGUUCCCCUCACCACACAUUGCAUCUGCCCAGAGGAAGAGGUGCCGUGCUGGGCAGUGAAUGAAUGAACCUUGCCCUGGGUUUAACACUCCAGUGGGAUGAACAGACAAACCCCACAAGCACUGCAUACGCAGCCAACAAAGAAAAAGGCUUCCUUCAUUGACUUCUGUGGGGAUUCAAUGACGUCGUACACAUAAAGCACUUAGCAUAUGCCUGGUACAUGGCAGCAUUCUUUCCAUCUCUCACCUCCUCAUGCCUCCUGUGGAAAAAAUGAAUGGACAGAUGAGAAAAGUUGGAGCUGGAGAAAGACCGUGUUCCUCGUGUUCGGUGGGACCUGGGAAGGCUGCUAAAACCCAGGGAGCAGGAGUUCUCCUCCCUCCAUCCUUAUCCACAGUCUGGGUCCCAUCCAGACCCUCCUCUCCAAACCGGGGGUUUGGGACAAAGCAGGUGAGGGAGGCAUUUCAUU